GUUGGACUGUCACUCUGAGUCCCAUACAAUCAAUUUGAUUUAUUUUUUUUGCUAGGUUUGAAUACUUACCCUCUCCUAAUGAUUACCUCUACCUUACCCUGGCAUGGUGCUGAGGUUUUUUCAACCCCCUAGAAUCAAUCACAUGCUAAUACAUCUUCCUGCUGCCUGUUCCCAGCCCCAUCCCCCCGACAUGCCACAGCACAAGAUUACCUCUCUGAAUGCAGAGAGAAACGAGGAGAGGCUCACAGAACAUGUGAAUCACAAGGAAGUGGUUUCCCUAGUGACAGUAACCACAUGAAAGCUCUCACAUUUACUCUCACGGGACCUUUUAGCACUUUGGAUUGUGGGGAGAGCAAGAAAGCUGGUAAAAAACGCUGUGGUUGGUAAAGAAACAAGCUAACCCUGAAAUGCUAAAUGGUAUGGGCAACCCAUGAGAAGACACCAGCUCCUGGGGAUUUUCAUGAGCUUCACAGCUGCUCACAGGGCCCUCCUCCAGAAGACCAGAGACCUCCAAGAGGGGCAGAACAGCCUGCCCGGGUCCUCACCCCCAUGUGUGGUGGCAGCCGGGGUUGCAGGCAGCUCCCCAACACACACUUGGCUUCCUAUCCUCUCCCCUUGUCGGCGUUUCCCCCCACGGUGCCGUAUGGGGAGGCUGUGGGGACACUGGUGGGGGGGUGAGCAGGACUGUGGUGGCACCGGCACCAGUGCUGGGGACACCGGGUGUCUGCAUGCUGGGGGACAGCACGAAGCCUGGCAUGGAAAGAGUACAGCAGUAGACAGAGAGGCAGAUGGAAAGGAGUGCCUCUGAAAGCCAUGCCCCAAGCAGUCACACUGAGGGAGCCCAGAGAAGUGGUGUCCACAUGGGACAGAGACCACGAAGGAGAAAGUGUCCUCGGCUGAAACACGACUGUCUUUCUCUCCCAUCUUGCCACCCUGGGCACAUUAGCUUAAUAACGAGCUUUUUAGCAGAUUUCAGUGAACAAGAAGCAAUUUAUUUGUCGUCAUGGAGACAAAGAAGACCUUCUGGAAAAGAGCGUUGAAUGGAGAGAAGAAGGUUUAUUGUGCAGAGCAAUGAGGCAUUCACUUGGAACAUUAGCAUCACACAAAGCGGACCAUACAAGAGGUCUUGCUAACUUCUGGAUGCAUGGCUGGAUGCAUUUUGGGUCCUCACUUUCCCUGGAUAAGCCAGGGAACUGGCAGUUGGAGUUUUGCACACAUUAUUUGAUGUCCACCCCUGUUCCUAGAAGACUCUGGGGGAAAGACAAAUGCUCCUUGUUGGUAGCUGGCAUGGCUGAACCUCACUGGUUGCAUUUCUGGUGGAUAUUUCCAGGGACUGAAUUAUCAGAUUCAACUGCCAACUGAACAAACCCAAAUAAGCCAAGAGCAUGCAUCUCAAAGUGUACUUUGUUCAUUUAUUUUGACAACUCUGGUGUUUCUUUAAUUAUUUAUAACACUUCAUACUGUACUGGAGUAGAUUUUUGUAAAAAUAAUGAAG
This 1495-nucleotide long non-coding RNA is filed under the name Anas platyrhynchos platyrhynchos (common mallard). Its description in RNAcentral is "lncRNA (ENSAPLG00000029870.1)". The record is from RNAcentral. Lineage: Eukaryota; Metazoa; Chordata; Aves; Anseriformes; Anatidae.